GAUGAACGCUAGCGGCAGGCUUAAUACAUGCAAGUCGUGGGGCAGCAGGACUGUAGCAAUACAGUUGCUGGCGACCGGCAAACGGGUGCGGAACACGUACGCAACUUACCCUGAACUGGGGGAUAGCCCGGGGAAACCCGGAUUAAUACCCCGUAAUAUAAUGGAGUGGCAUCACUUUAUUAUUAAAGCUCCGGCGGUUCGGGAUGGGCGUGCGGCUGAUUAGGUAGUUGGUUGAGGUAACGGCUCACCAAGCCUACGAUCAGUAACUGGUGUGAGAGCACGACCCAUCAAACGGGGACUGAGAAACGGGCCCCACUCCUACGGGAGGCAAGAGUAAGGAAUAUUGGGGAAUGGAGGCCACUCUUACCCAGCCAUGCCGGGUGGAGGAAGAAGGCCCUCUGGGUUGUAAACUUCUUUUGUAGGGGACGAAACCUGUGUAUUCUUACGCAGUUGACGGUACCCUAGGAAUAAGCACCGGCUAACUCCGUG
This 489-nucleotide ribosomal RNA is filed under the name uncultured bacterium. RNAcentral's name for it is "partial 16S ribosomal RNA". It matches the Rfam family "Bacterial small subunit ribosomal RNA", at positions 28 to 507 of the family's 1533-position model. The record is from RNAcentral.